CGCUUGCGGCGUGCUAUACAUGCAAGUCGAGCGGACAGAUGGGAGCUUGCUCCCUGAUGUUAGCGGCGGACGGGUGAGUAACACGUGGGUAACCUGCCUGUAAGACUGGGAUAACUCCGGGAAACCGGGGCUAAUACCGGAUGGUUGUUUGAACCGCAUGGUUCAAACAUAAAAGGUGGCUUCGGCUACCACUUACAGAUGGACCCGCGGCGCAUUAGCUAGUUGGUGAGGUAACGGCUCACCAAGGCAACGAUGCGUAGCCGACCUGAGAGGGUGAUCGGCCACACUGGGACUGAGACACGGCCCAGACUCCUACGGGAGGCAGCAGUAGGGAAUCUUCCGCAAUGGACGAAAGUCUGACGGAGCAACGCCGCGUGAGUGAUGAAGGUUUUCGGAUCGUAAAGCUCUGUUGUUAGGGAAGAACAAGUACCGUUCGAAUAGGGCGGUACCUUGACGGUACCUAACCAGAAAGCCACGGCUAACUACGUGCCAGCAGCCGCGGUAAUACGUAGGUGGCAAGCGUUGUCCGGAAUUAUUGGGCGUAAAGGGCUCGCAGGCGGUUUCUUAAGUCUGAUGUGAAAGCCCCCGGCUCAACCGGGGAGGGUCAUUGGAAACUGGGGAACUUGAGUGCAGAAGAGGAGAGUGGAAUUCCACGUGUAGCGGUGAAAUGCGUAGAGAUGUGGAGGAACACCAGUGGCGAAGGCGACUCUCUGGUCUGUAACUGACGCUGAGGAGCGAAAGCGUGGGGAGCGAACAGGAUUAGAUACCCUGGUAGUCCACGCCGUAAACGAUGAGUGCUAAGUGUUAGGGGGUUUCCGCCCCUUAGUGCUGCAGCUAACGCAUUAAGCACUCCGCCUGGGGAGUACGGUCGCAAGACUGAAACUCAAAGGAAUUGACGGGGGCCCGCACAAGCGGUGGAGCAUGUGGGUUUAAUUCGAAGCAACGCGAAGAACCUUACCAGGUCUUGACAUCCUCUGACAAUCCUAGAGAUAGGACGUCCCCUUCGGGGGCAGAGUGACAGGUGGUGCAUGGUUGUCGUCAGCUCGUGUCGUGAGAUGUUGGGUUAAGUCCCGCAACGAGCGCAACCCUUGAUCUUAGUUGCCAGCAUUCAGUUGGGCACUCUAAGGUGACUGCCGGUGACAAACCGGAGGAAGGUGGGGAUGACGUCAAAUCAUCAUGCCCCUUAUGACCUGGGCUACACACGUGCUACAAUGGACAGAACAAAGGGCAGCGAAACCGCGAGGUUAAGCCAAUCCCACAAAUCUGUUCUCAGUUCGGAUCGCAGUCUGCAACUCGACUGCGUGAAGCUGGAAUCGCUAGUAAUCGCGGAUCAGCAUGCCGCGGUGAAUACGUUCCCGGGCCUUGUACACACCGCCCGUCACACCACGAGAGUUUGUAACACCCGAAGUCGGUGAGGUAACCUUUUAGGAGCCAGCCGCCGAAGGUG
RNAcentral lists this ribosomal RNA (1447 nucleotides) under Bacillus subtilis. RNAcentral's name for it is "16S ribosomal RNA". It matches the Rfam family "Bacterial small subunit ribosomal RNA". The record is from RNAcentral. Lineage: Bacteria; Bacillati; Bacillota; Bacilli; Caryophanales; Bacillaceae.